UGGUGGCCUUAGAGGAGGGGGUACACCCGAUCCCAUUCCGAACUCGGAAGUUAAGCCCUCCUUCGCCGAUGAUACUGCCAGGACCGCUGGUGGGAAAGUAGGUCGCUGCCA
RNAcentral lists this ribosomal RNA (111 nucleotides) under Fundidesulfovibrio magnetotacticus. Lineage: Bacteria; Pseudomonadati; Thermodesulfobacteriota; Desulfovibrionia; Desulfovibrionales; Desulfovibrionaceae. The record is from RNAcentral.